GGCUGUAAACCUCUUUUCUCAAGGAAGAAGAUCUGACGGUACUUGAGGAAUAAGCCACGGCUAAUUCCGUGCCAGCAGCCGCGGUAAUACGGGAGUGGCAAGCGUUAUCCGGAAUUAUUGGGCGUAAAGCGUCCGCAGGCGGCCUUGUAAGUCUGCUGUCAAAGAGUGGAGCUCAACUCCAUUUCGGCAGUGGAAACUGCGAGGCUUGAGUGUGGUAGGGGCAGAGGGAAUUCCCGGUGUAGCGGUGAAAUGCGUAGAUAUCGGGAAGAACACCAGUGGCGAAGGCGCUCUGCUGGGCCAUAACUGACGCUCAUGGACGAAAGCCAGGGGAGCGAAAGGGAU
RNAcentral lists this ribosomal RNA (342 nucleotides) under uncultured Cyanobium sp. RNAcentral's name for it is "bacterial SSU rRNA". It matches the Rfam family "Bacterial small subunit ribosomal RNA", at positions 421 to 778 of the family's 1533-position model. Lineage: Bacteria; Bacillati; Cyanobacteriota; Cyanophyceae; Synechococcales; Prochlorococcaceae. The record is from RNAcentral.